Long non-coding RNA from Argiope bruennichi, 800 nucleotides. RefSeq lists it as uncharacterized. The transcript has 2 exons. The record is from RefSeq and is a predicted model, not a curated record. NCBI's taxonomy places the organism in Eukaryota, Metazoa, Arthropoda, Arachnida, Araneae, Araneidae.
UCUGACAUUAGAAAAAAAUAAAAUUUUUAUAAUGAUUUGCAAUUUGUAUUAAGUUUGAUUGAAUAUUUCAAAAUUAUUGUGUUGAAUAUUUAAACUUGUAAAGUUUAUUCCUAAAAAACUGGAUAAACUACAUACAAAACAAUCACAUUCUAGUCAAUAAAAUAUUUUGCUGUAAUAAAAAUGAAACACAGAUCUAAUAAAAGAGACAGCCCUAUAGUAUUCAAAUUCUAUUAUUCAUAUUUUAUACUUUCAUAGAAAGUUUCAGCACAGCUAUAAAAUCUUUGCAUAUAUGUAUCAAUAUUAUAUGUAUUCCAUUUUUUCAAAAAUUCAAGUAAAGAAAUACAAAGCUCAUUUUUAAAGACAAAUUUUUUAUAAAAAAAUAUAUAAUGAUUUCAUUACGAGCGGAAACUCUUAAUUGAAAAGAAUGUGUCUUUCUUAAAUAUAUGUUGAAAUUAUUAUUUUUGAAAAUAUUUCAAAAGGUGUAAAAUCCAAUAUAACAUGGAAGAUUUUUAUGGGUAUUAUUUUUCUCUCACGGACUAAAAUCUUUCAAAAAACUAUAAUCUAUUCUUUAACUUUUCUAUAUAUAAACACAUGAAAAUUAAAAUUAGAGAAAAAAAUUAUCAUUUCAGGUGGUAAAACCCAUUAUGAAGCCGACAGCGGCCAUCAUGGCGGAAGUAUUUUUGACACAGCCGCUAGUUUCAUCAAUGGAAUCAUCUAAAAACAUAAUAUAAAUGAUUUUGGAUUGAACCAGUUAUGUAAAACUAGCCUAAUUUGAAAAUAAAAAUAGUUUUCUCAUUCUC